RNAcentral lists this transfer RNA (74 nucleotides) under Marmota monax (woodchuck). RNAcentral describes it as "tRNA.Ala". Lineage: Eukaryota; Metazoa; Chordata; Mammalia; Rodentia; Sciuridae. The record is from RNAcentral.
AGAUAUGGCUCUGUGGUAGAGCUUUUGCCUAGCAUGCAUGAGGUCCCGGGUUCUAUCUCCAGCAAAAAUAUUUA